RNAcentral lists this ribosomal RNA (301 nucleotides) under uncultured bacterium. Its description in RNAcentral is "partial 16S ribosomal RNA". It matches the Rfam family "Bacterial small subunit ribosomal RNA", at positions 509 to 807 of the family's 1533-position model. The record is from RNAcentral.
CAGUCGCCACGGUAAUACGAAGGGUGCAAGCGUUAAUCGGAAUUACUGGGCGUAAAGCGUGCGCAGGCGGUUUGUUAAGACAGAUGUGAAAUCCCCGGGCUCAACCUGGGAACUGCAUUUGUGACUGGCAAGCUAGAGUGUGGCAGAGGGGGGUGGAAUUCCGCGUGUAGCAGUGAAAUGCGUAGAGAUCGGGAGGAACAUCAGUGGCGAAGGCGGCCAUCUGGGACAACACUGACGCUGAGGCACGAAAGCGUGGGGAGCAAACAGGAUUAGAUACCCCCGUAGUCCCUGUCUCUUAUAC